RNAcentral lists this ribosomal RNA (671 nucleotides) under Enterobacter cloacae. RNAcentral's name for it is "bacterial SSU rRNA". It matches the Rfam family "Bacterial small subunit ribosomal RNA", at positions 872 to 1533 of the family's 1533-position model. Lineage: Bacteria; Pseudomonadati; Pseudomonadota; Gammaproteobacteria; Enterobacterales; Enterobacteriaceae. The record is from RNAcentral.
CCUGGGGAGUACGGCCGCAAGGUUAAAACUCAAAUGAAUUGACGGGGGCCCGCACAAGCGGUGGAGCAUGUGGUUUAAUUCGAUGCAACGCGAAGAACCUUACCUACUCUUGACAUCCAGAGAACUUUCCAGAGAUGGAUUGGUGCCUUCGGGAACUCUGAGACAGGUGCUGCAUGGCUGUCGUCAGCUCGUGUUGUGAAAUGUUGGGUUAAGUCCCGCAACGAGCGCAACCCUUAUCCUUUGUUGCCAGCGGUUAGGCCGGGAACUCAAAGGAGACUGCCAGUGAUAAACUGGAGGAAGGUGGGGAUGACGUCAAGUCAUCAUGGCCCUUACGAGUAGGGCUACACACGUGCUACAAUGGCGCAUACAAAGAGAAGCGACCUCGCGAGAGCAAGCGGACCUCAUAAAGUGCGUCGUAGUCCGGAUUGGAGUCUGCAACUCGACUCCAUGAAGUCGGAAUCGCUAGUAAUCGUAGAUCAGAAUGCUACGGUGAAUACGUUCCCGGGCCUUGUACACACCGCCCGUCACACCAUGGGAGUGGGUUGCAAAAGAAGUAGGUAGCUUAACCUUCGGGAGGGCGCUUACCACUUUGUGAUUCAUGACUGGGGUGAAGUCGUAACAAGGUAACCGUAGGGGAACCUGCGGUUGGAUCACCUCCUUACCUUAAAGAA